RNAcentral lists this ribosomal RNA (467 nucleotides) under uncultured bacterium. RNAcentral describes it as "partial 16S ribosomal RNA". It matches the Rfam family "Bacterial small subunit ribosomal RNA", at positions 28 to 506 of the family's 1533-position model. The record is from RNAcentral.
GACGAACGCUGGCGGCGUGCUUAACACAUGCAAGUCGAACGGAAAGGCCCUGCUUUUGUGGGGUGCUCGAGUGGCGAACGGGUGAGUAACACGUGAGUAACCUGCCCUUGACUUUGGGAUAACUUCAGGAAACUGGGGCUAAUACCGGAUAGGAGCUCCUGCUGCAUGGUGGGGGUUGGAAAGUUUCGGCGGUUGGGGAUGGACUCGCGGCUUUUCAGCUUGUUGGUGGGGUAGUGGCUUACCAAGGCUUUGACGGGUAGCCGGCCUGUGAGGGUGACCGGCCACAUUGGGACUGAGAUACGGCCCGGACUCCUACGGGAGGCAGCAGUGGGGAGUAUUGCACAAUGGGCGGAAGCCUGAUGCAGCCACGCCUCGUGCGGGAUGACGGCCUUCGGGUUGUAAACCGCUUUCGCCUGUGACGAAGCGUGAGUGACGGUAAUGGGUAAAGAAGCACCGGCUACCUACGU